AUUGUACCAAAUGGCAGAGGAUAUCUCUGGAUUCCCUAUAAUAGUGAAUAUCAAGUGCUCUUCUGAUUUAUUGGUCACCAACAUCUGUUGCAACUGCAGUUUCCUGAAGCUGUGAAAUUUUAUUUGACUGGAAGAAUUCUGAGGAACAAAUAUCCACGACAGUACUCCAGGCACAGCUGCGAGCUGGGAGAUCAAUAUUCAUGCCAAGCAGGUUCAUUAACUAUGCAACUUUAUUGACCCCAACAACAAAUGAGCUUCCUAUCCCUACUGAACUCAAAUGGUUCAAAAUAACAAGGGGGAAAAUAUCUACCAAAACCGGACAUGUCAACUAACCCACAAGGAAGUGACUUGCACAAUAAAGUGCAUGUUGGAGAUUAUUGUUCCUAAAACACCACCGUUUGUGUAUCGCAGGCAUUGCUGAAAUGUUAAAACUCUAUAAAAUGUAAGCACUCUGUUCCUAUGAGUAACACUGGAGGGGGAAAAAAAG
This is a long non-coding RNA of Chelonia mydas (Green sea turtle), 487 nucleotides long. RefSeq lists it as uncharacterized. The record is from RefSeq and is a predicted model, not a curated record. The transcript is spliced from 3 exons. NCBI's taxonomy places the organism in Eukaryota, Metazoa, Chordata, Testudines, Cheloniidae.